This 307-nucleotide long non-coding RNA is filed under the name Gossypium barbadense (sea-island cotton). RNAcentral describes it as "long non-coding RNA (GBAR_LNC002378)". The record is from RNAcentral. Lineage: Eukaryota; Viridiplantae; Streptophyta; Magnoliopsida; Malvales; Malvaceae.
AAGGUCUCUUUGCAGUUUCAGAGGGGGUGGGUUUUUUGGAUCAGAAGAUGGAAGUGACGUGAUGAACUUUUCAGGUGCUAGGAGCUCGAUUUCGGCUGCACGGAGUUCCGGCGUCAAUGGCGGUUUGCUCUUUGAUCCUGAGAGGAAAAGUGGGUUUAGUGAAGCAGAACCAAGGAGAAGUGGUUUUGAUAGUGAAAGAAGAGACAGUACUUUUAUGGAGUCCGAUAUUGCAGCCAUUAGGAAAAGUGGCAUGGGCGGCGGCAGUUUCAUGGAUGUUGAUGGGGGUUUUAGUGGUGCAAACAGGCGG